CAGGCCUAACACAUGCAAGUCGAGCGCUUGGGGUGUUCCCUUACGGGAAACCCCCUGGAGCGGCGGACGGGUGAGUAACACGUAGGCAACCUGCCUGUAAGAUCGGGAUAACUACCGGAAACGGUAGCUAAGACCGGAUAGCUGGUUUCUCCGCAUGGAGGGAUCAUGAAACAUGGGGCAACCUAUGGCUUACGGAUGGGCCUGCGGCGCAUUAGCUAGUUGGUGGGGUAACGGCCCACCAAGGCGACGAUGCGUAGCCGACCUGAGAGGGUGAUCGGCCACACUGGGACUGAGACACGGCCCAGACUCCUACGGGAGGCAGCAGUAGGGAAUCUUCCGCAAUGGGCGCAAGCCUGACGGAGCAACGCCGCGUGAGUGAUGAAGGUUUUCGGAUCGUAAAGCUCUGUUGCCAAGGAAGAACGCCUCGGAGAGUAACUGCUCUGAGGGUGACGGUACUUGAGAAGAAAGCCCCGGCUAACUACGUGCCAGCAGCCGCGGUAAUACGUAGGGGGCAAGCGUUGUCCGGAAUUAUUGGGCGUAAAGCGCGCGCAGGCGGUCUUUUAAGUUUGGUGUUUAAGCCCGGGGCUCAACCCCGGUUCGCACUGAAAACUGGGAGACUUGAGUGCAGGAGAGGAAAGCGGAAUUCCACGUGUAGCGGUGAAAUGCGUAGAGAUGUGGAGGAACACCAGUGGCGAAGGCGGCUUUCUGGACUGUAACUGACGCUGAGGCGCGAAAGCGUGGGGAGCAAAC
This 750-nucleotide ribosomal RNA is filed under the name uncultured bacterium. RNAcentral describes it as "bacterial SSU rRNA". It matches the Rfam family "Bacterial small subunit ribosomal RNA", at positions 43 to 773 of the family's 1533-position model. The record is from RNAcentral.